RNAcentral lists this ribosomal RNA (466 nucleotides) under uncultured bacterium. Its description in RNAcentral is "bacterial SSU rRNA". It matches the Rfam family "Bacterial small subunit ribosomal RNA", at positions 338 to 795 of the family's 1533-position model. The record is from RNAcentral.
CCUACGGGGGGCAGCAGUAGGGAAUCUUCCACAAUGGGCGCAAGCCUGAUGGAGCAACGCCGCGUGAGUGAUGAAGGCCUUCGGGUUGUAAAACUCUGUCUUCUGUGACGAACAAGUAUGUGAGUGGAAAGCUCAUACCCUGACGGUAACAGAGGAGGAAGCCACGGCUAACUACGUGCCAGCAGCCGCGGUAAUACGUAGGUGGCGAGCGUUGUCCGGAAUCACUGGGCGUAAAGCGCGCGCAGGCGGCGAUCUACGUCUGGGGUGAAAGCCCGGAGCUCAACUCCGGGACUGCCUUGGAUACGGGAUCGCUUGAGGAUUGGAGAGGCAAGGGGAAUUCCACGUGUAGCGGUGAAAUGCGUAGAGAUGUGGAGGAACACCUGUGGCGAAGGCGCCUUGCUGGCCAAUUACUGACGCUGAGGCGCGAAAGCGUGGGGAGCAAACAGGAUUAGAUACCCCCGUAGUC